Molecule: non-coding RNA, 29 nt
Filed under: Mus musculus (house mouse)
Lineage: Eukaryota; Metazoa; Chordata; Mammalia; Rodentia; Muridae
Source: RNAcentral
UGACUGCAUUUAGGAGGAUUCUCACACUC